CUCUAUGACCGUACCACCCUGAACGUGCCCCAUCUCGUCUGAUCUCGGAAGCUAAGCAGGGUCGGGCCUGGUUAGUACUUAGUACUUGGAUGGGGAAUUUCAGAACGCUAGCGAUAACAGAGA
Molecule: ribosomal RNA, 123 nt
Organism: Pteropus vampyrus (large flying fox)
Lineage: Eukaryota; Metazoa; Chordata; Mammalia; Chiroptera; Pteropodidae
Source: Ensembl